UACGGAGGGUGCAAGCGUUAUCCGGAUUUACUGGGUUUAAAGGGUGCGCAGGCGGAUAUGUAAGUCAGUGGUGAAAUCUCUAGGCUUAACCUGGAAAUUGCCGUUGAUACUAUAUAUCUUGAAUGCUGUGGAGGUAAGCGGAAUAUGUCAUGUAGCGGUGAAAUGCUUAGAUAUGACAUAGAACACCUAUUGCGAGGGCAGCUUACUACGCAGAUAUUGACGCUCAUGCACGAAAGCGUGGGGAUCAAACAGG
This 253-nucleotide ribosomal RNA is filed under the name uncultured bacterium. RNAcentral describes it as "partial 16S ribosomal RNA". It matches the Rfam family "Bacterial small subunit ribosomal RNA", at positions 524 to 776 of the family's 1533-position model. The record is from RNAcentral.